Molecule: ribosomal RNA, 761 nt
Filed under: uncultured Prevotella sp.
Lineage: Bacteria; Pseudomonadati; Bacteroidota; Bacteroidia; Bacteroidales; Prevotellaceae
Description: bacterial SSU rRNA
Rfam family: Bacterial small subunit ribosomal RNA
Source: RNAcentral
GAUGAACGCAGGCUACAGGCUUAACACAUGCAAGUCGAGGGGAAACGGCGUUGAGUGCUCGCACUCUUCGGACGCCGACCGGCGCACGGGUGAGUAACGCGUAUCCAACCUUCCCGUCACUGCGGGAUAACCUGCCGAAAGGCAGACUAAUACCGCAUGGCCUUCACUGACGGCAUCCGAGGUGAAGUAAAGCUUUUUGCGGUGACGGACGGGGAUGCGUCUGAUUAGCUUGUGGCGGGGCGACGGCCCACCAAGGCGACGAUCAGUAGGGGUUCUGAGAGGAAGGUCCCCCACAUUGGAACUGAGACACGGUCCAAACUCCUACGGGAGGCAGCAGUGAGGAAUAUUGGUCAAUGGGCGGAAGCCUGAACCAGCCAAGUAGCGUGCAGGACGACGGCCCUACGGGUUGUAAACUGCUUUUAUGCGGGGAUAAAGUGAGGGACGCGUCCCUUUUUGCAGGUACCGCAUGAAUAAGGACCGGCUAAUUCCGUGCCAGCAGCCGCGGUAAUACGGAAGGUCCGGGCGUUAUCCGGAUUUAUUGGGUUUAAAGGGAGCGUAGGCCGGGGAUUAAGUGUGUUGUGAAAUGUAGGCGCUCAACGUCUGAUGUGCAGCGCAUACUGGUUCCCUUGAGUACGCGCAACGCCGGCGGAAUUCGUCGUGUAGCGGUGAAAUGCUUAGAUAUGACGAAGAACCCCGAUUGCGAAGGCAGCCGGCGGGAGCGCAACUGACGCUGAAGCUCGAAGGUGCGGGUAUCGAACAGG